This 460-nucleotide ribosomal RNA is filed under the name uncultured bacterium. RNAcentral describes it as "partial 16S ribosomal RNA". It matches the Rfam family "Bacterial small subunit ribosomal RNA", at positions 338 to 795 of the family's 1533-position model. The record is from RNAcentral.
CCUACGGGGGGCAGCAGUGAGGAAUAUUGGUCAAUGGACGAGAGUCUGAACCAGCCAAGUAGCGUGAAGGAUGACUGCCCUAUGGGUUGUAAACUUCUUUUAUAUGGGAAUAAAACGUUCCACGUGUGGGAUUUUGUAUGUACCCUAUGAAUAAGGAUCGGCUAACUCCGUGCCAGCAGCCGCGGUAAUACGGAGGAUCCGAGCGUUAUCCGGAUUUAUUGGGUUUAAAGGGAGCGUAGGUGGAUUGUUAAGUCAGUUGUGAAAGUUUGCGGCUCAACCGUAAAAUUGCAGUUGAAACUGGCAGUCUUGAGUACAGUAGAGGUGGGCGGAAUUCGUGGUGUAGCGGUGAAAUGCUUAGAUAUCACGAAGAACUCCGAUUGCGAAGGCAGUUCACUGGACUGCAACUGACACUGAGGCUCGAAAGUGUGGGUAUCAAACAGGAUUAGAUACCCGAGUAGUC